RNAcentral lists this ribosomal RNA (419 nucleotides) under bacterium. RNAcentral describes it as "partial 16S ribosomal RNA". It matches the Rfam family "Bacterial small subunit ribosomal RNA", at positions 355 to 776 of the family's 1533-position model. The record is from RNAcentral.
UGGGGUAUAUUGCACAAUGGGCGAAAGCCUGAUGCAGCGACGCCGCGUGGGGGAUGAAGGCCUUCGGGUUGUAAACUUCUUUUGCUCUGAACAAGGCGCACCAUGGGGUGUGUUGAGUGUAGGGGUUGAUUAGCGCCGGCUAACUACGUGCCAGCAGCCGCGGUAAUACGUAGGGCGCGAGCGUUGUCCGGAAUUAUUGGGCGUAAAGGGCUUGUAGGUGGCUGGUUGCGUCUGUCGUGAAAGCUCAUGGCUUAACUGUGGGUUUGCGGGGGGUACGGGCUGGCUUGAGUGAAGUAGGGGAGGCUGGAAUUCCUGGUGGAGCGGUGGAAUGCGCAGAUAUCAGGAGGAAUACCGGUGGCGAAGGCGGGUCUCUGGGCUGUUACUGACACUGAGGAGCGAAAGCAUGGGGAGCGAACAGG